Molecule: long non-coding RNA, 2586 nt
Filed under: Lonchura striata (white-rumped munia)
Lineage: Eukaryota; Metazoa; Chordata; Aves; Passeriformes; Estrildidae
Description: domestica (Bengalese finch) lncRNA (ENSLSDG00000003116.1)
Source: RNAcentral
GGCUGCCGCUGGACCCCGGCGCGCUCGGCGACGCGCUGGUCAGGCAGCUGGCCCCGCUGCAGGUGAGUGCAGACCAGUAUAAACCAGUAUAAACCAGUAUAAACCAGUAUAAACCAGUAUGAACCAGUAUGGAACCAGUAUAGAGCAGUAUAGAGCAGCAUGGGACCAGUAUGGACCAGUAUGGAACCUGGGGGCACUGGGGGGUUCUGGGCCCCGGCGCGCUUGGCGACGCGCUGGUCAGGCAGCUGGCCCCGCUGGAGGUGAGUAUAGACCAGUAUAAACCAGUAUAAACCAGUAAAAACCAGUAAAAACCAGUAUGGAACCAGUCUAGAGCAGUAUAAACCAGUAUGGAACCAGUAUAGAGCAGUAUAGAGCAGCAUGGGACCAGUAUGGACCAGUAUGGAACCAGGGGGCACUGGGGGGUUCUGGGCCCCGGCGCGCUUGGCGACGCGCUGGUCAGGCAGCUGGCCCCGCUGCAGGUGAGUGCAGACCAGUACAAACCAGUACAAACCAGUAAAAACCAGUAUGGAACCAGUAGAGAGCAGUAUGGAACCAGUAGAGAGCAGUAUGGAACCAGUAUAGAGCAGUAUAAACCAGUAUAUCCCAGUAUAUCCCAGUAUAUCGCAGUGUAUCCCAGUAUAACCCAGUAUAUCCCAAUACAUCCCAGUAUAUCCCAGUAUAUCCCAGUCCACCCUAGUAUAACCCAGUAUAACCCAGUAUAACCCAGUAUAUCCCAGUCCAUCCCAGUCCACCCCAGUCCAUCCCAGUAUUUCCAGUAUUCCCAGUCCAUCCCAGUCCAUCCCAGUCCACCCCAGUAUUCCCAGUAUUCCCAGUAUUCCCAGUUCAUCCCAGUCCAUCCCAGUAUUCCCAGUAUUCCCAGUAUUCCCAGUCCAUCCCAGUCCAUCCCAGUCCACCCCAGUCCAUCCCAGUAUUCCCAGUAUUCCCAGUCCAUCCCAGUCCAUCCCAGUCCACCCCAGUCCACCCCAGUAUUCCCAGUAUUCCCAGUAUUCCCAGUAUUCCCAGUAUUCCCAGUCCACCCCAGUCCAUCCCAGUCCACCCCAGUCCAUCCCAGUCCACCCCAGUAUUCCCAGUAUUCCCAGUAUUCCCAGUAUUCCCAGUAUUCCCAGUCCAUCCCAGUAUUCCCAGUCCAUCCCAGUCCACCCCAGUAUUCCCAGUCCACCCCAGUAUUCCCAGUAUUCCCAGUAUUCCCAGUAUUCCCAGUCCACCCAGUGCAGCCCCCGCCGCCCGCAGGCGCGCGGCCUCUCGCUGCAGUGCCUCUCCUCGGCCAGAGGGGGCGUGGUGCGCGCGGCGGCCGCGCUGCGCCGCGACAUGGCGGGCUCGGACCGCGGCAACGAGCGGCUGAACGGCGGCUUCAACGCGCGGCUGAUGGCCGCCGAGGCGUCCCUGCUGUCCCCGUUCGUGUCCCCUCUGGUGUCCCCGUUCCGCCACGUCCUGCUGGGCCGGGGCGGCCACACGCUNNNNNCUGUCCCUGUCCCUCUGUCCCUGUCCCCAUCCCUGUCCCUCUGUCCCUGUCCCCGUGUCCCUGUCCCCAUCCAUGUCCCUGUCCCUGUCCCCAUCCCCAUGUCCCUGUCCCUGUCCCUCUGUCCCUGUCCCCGUGUCCCCAUCCCCGUGUCCCUGUCCUCAUCCUUGUCCCUCUGUCCCUGUUCCUGUCCCUCUGUCCCCGUCCCUGUGUCCCCAUCCCUGUGUCCCUGUCCCUCUGUCCCUGUCCCUGUCCCUGUCCCCAUCCCUGUCCCUCUGUCCCUGUCCCCAUCCCUGUCCCCAUCCCUCUGACCCUGUCCCUGCCCCCUCCCCGUGUCCCUGUCCCUGACCCCAUCCCUGUCCCUGUCCUCAUCCUCGUGUCAUUGUCCCUGUCCCCAUCCCUGUCCCUGUCCCCAUCCCCGUGUCAUUGUCCCUGUCCCCAUCCCCGUGUCAUUGUCCCUGUCCCCAUCCCCGUGUCCCCGUCCCUGUCCCUCUGUCCCUGUCCCUCUGUCCCUGUCCCCAUCCCUCUGACCCUGUCCCUGUCCCCAUCCCCGUGUCCCCGUCCCUGUCCCCAUCCCUGUCCCUCUGUCCCUGUCCCCAUCCCCGUGUCCCCUCACCCCGUCCCUGUGUCCCCAGGCCGAGGCGUCCCUGCUGUCCCCGUUCGUGUCCCCUCUGGUGUCCCCGUUCCGCCACGUCCUGCUGGGCCGGGGCGGCCACACGCUGCCGGCGCUGGUGGCCGAGCUGGGCGCGGCGGCGACGCGCGGCGACAGCGGCGACAAAAGGGGGGACAGCGGCGACAACGGCGACAAAAGGGGGGACAGCGGCGACAACGGUGACAAAAGGGGGGACAGCGGCGACAGCGGCGACAAAAGGGGGGACAGCGGCGACAGCGGCGACAGCGGCAGUGGCAGCGGCCGCCUGCGGGUGGCGCUCCUGGCCUGGACCCUGCGCGGCACCGCGGGGGCGCUGGCCGGGGACAGCGGCGACCUCGGGGACAUGGGCGGGGCCGGGGACAGCGGCGGCUGCGGCCACCUCGGCGACAUCGGCGGCGACAGCCCCGGUGGCCCUGGGGACCUCGGGGACAUUGGGGACACUGGAGACACUGGG